GCUUUGGGAGUACAUAAAGGCCUACACUUUAAUUGGACUGAUAUAGAGUAGAUUAGCAUGGCCCUUCGCAAUGAUUACACAGAUCGUAACGCUUUCUACAUUUAU
Small nuclear RNA from Homalodisca vitripennis (glassy-winged sharpshooter), 105 nucleotides. NCBI's taxonomy places the organism in Eukaryota, Metazoa, Arthropoda, Insecta, Hemiptera, Cicadellidae. The record is from RefSeq and is a predicted model, not a curated record.